RNAcentral lists this ribosomal RNA (484 nucleotides) under uncultured bacterium. RNAcentral describes it as "partial 16S ribosomal RNA". It matches the Rfam family "Bacterial small subunit ribosomal RNA", at positions 29 to 507 of the family's 1533-position model. The record is from RNAcentral.
AUUGAACGCUGGCGGCAUGCUUUACACAUGCAAGUCGAACGGCAGCGCGGGCUUCGGCCUGGCGGCGAGUGGCGAACGGGUGAGUAAUACAUCGGAACGUGCCCAGUAGUGGGGGAUAGCUCGGCGAAAGCCGGAUUAAUACCGCAUACGACCUGAGGGUGAAAGCGGGGGAUCUUCGGACCUCGCGCUAUUGGAGCGGCCGAUGGCAGAUUAGCUAGUUGGUGGGGUAACGGCCUACCAAGUCGACGAUCUGUAGCUGGUCUGAGAGGACGACCAGCCACACUGGGACUGAGACACGGCCCAGACUCCUACGGGAGGCAGCAGUGGGGAAUGUUGGACAAUGGGCGAAAGCCUGAUCCAGCAAUGCCGCGUGUGUGAUGAAGGCCUUCGGGUUGUAAAGCACUUUUGGCGGGAACGAAAAGGACUGUGCCAAUACCACGGUUCGAUGACGGUACCCGCAGAAGAAGCACCGGCUAACUACGUG